Doryrhamphus excisus (bluestripe pipefish) is the source of this 1755-nucleotide non-coding RNA. Lineage: Eukaryota; Metazoa; Chordata; Actinopteri; Syngnathiformes; Syngnathidae. The record is from RefSeq and is a predicted model, not a curated record.
CCUGCAGUAAUUGUACAAGAACAAUGCACUGAUGCUGGCCGCUUUUGGGGCGUGAAGUCACUGCCGGGUGCGGGAGGGAGGACGCGGCACACAGAGGCUAACAAAGCUAAUUGGAUUAAACGUCCUCCAUCCGACAUGAAGCCGCACCCGUGCAUGCACCUGCUGAGCUGACACGCCAUCUGGGCGGGGCCCUGCAAGCUCAUUGGUCGGCGUGCGGAUAGGCUGUUGUGAUGGCGUGCCAAGGCGAGCAGGAAAAUACGCAUGGCGUGUAAGAGGUGUGAAAAUGCUGAGGUUUGAUGGCCAGCGUCAGUCAUCCUGAUGCUUCAUACCUUGUUGAAGCUGGGCAGCGGGGCGCCUUCGGGGGGGCUGUGGAAGUUGACAGGCUCCUCCUCCUGGAUGGACACCUGCACGGGCUGCAGGGUGGGGCUCAGGGUGCCCCAGGUGGGGCUCGUGGUGGAGGAUGGCGAUGGCGAGUCAGGCUGUUGGUUGACAUCUGCGGCGCUCUUGGGUGAAGGCAGCAAGGUGGUGGGUGACAAAGCCAGGUUGGCCUACAAGGAGUGAAGAACGUUUACGGGUGCCACAGCUGUUCAUCAUCACGCCAGGACCCCAGAGGACGUCUCUCUCGUCACUGUGCGUUGCGACCGUGAGGGGUUUUGCUCCUGGCGUCGGUUCUCAUGCCGUGCUUCGCUUGAGCUGCUCUUUGUUUUUAUGGACCGCCAUUUCCGAGGCAUGACCUCACCUCCUCACGGCCGCCGCCCGAACAGAUGACAUCAGCAUAUGGGACGCCCACGCCCUCCUUCCUCGUCCUAAACCACCAAGAACCCCCACCCGUUUUAACUGUGGUCCUCAGAUGCUAUUAAGAAUUGGUAGCCUAGCUACGUGAUGCUAAAGUGCUAACAUUAAAUCAUGCUAUGUCAGCAUAAAUGCUGAAGAAAAGAUGUGUAGUGAAGCCUGCCACCAUAAAGCGGUAGCAGGUUGAGAGUUAUUUGUUACAUAUGAGUAAAGCCUCUUCUGUGAGUCCAAUGGUUCCCAAGGUGGCACAUCCGGACAAAUAUUAUUUUUUCAAGGGCAUCGUUGACUUGUAAAAACUAUCCCGCUAUAAAGCUGUCCUGUAUGACGGCUAUCCGGUCAUCCCUCAUCUUUUGGUAGUUAGAGCAUAAAAACCUACUGAUGACCUUCUAUCAACACGUACGACCUUGAACAUGUUGCCAUCCCACACGGGUGUACUCUGAACAACAGCCAUAUUAGGUCAUCGGCCGCAUGUACUGUAUGUUGCUCUCACGCGGGACAAGCUGGGAAUCUGUGGGGCAAAGAGAGCGGGAAGGACUAUUUCUGGGGAUACAGGCCUGGGAAAAAGCCCCCCCCAAACCGAGCCUAGCGGAUGGAGCACAUCUGGAACAUAGUAAAGAAAAAAACCUGUAAGGCUGUAACAUCUAUACAAGGAAAGCUUGGGAAAACGCUCUGAGAAAGAGAAAGAAACAACAUCUAACAUCACAGCAUAUCAUAGCAGUUUGGGAUGUCAUGAUCCCAUCUACAGGAUCCGCUGUAUCUUUGAAGAGGGAGAACAUGCAAACUCCACACAGAGAUGGCAGCGGGUGGUCUUGAACUCACGUCUCCUAGCCGUGGGGGCCUGCACACUAACCACUCCGCUGUGCAUCCCCUUAAUAAUAUUCAUUUUACUUUAUUUUCAGUAAAAUUUGAUUUUUUUCCUCUUUUCGCUUGACAAAUAUUUCUGAUAAUAUAACAUAUAUACAU